AAAGAGAUGACAGAAAAAAUGUAUCUGGCUUGAAACCAGAAGAUGGAAGUUUAAAUCCUCCUCUCUUUU
This 69-nucleotide transfer RNA is filed under the name Ptilometra sp. DH-R. Its description in RNAcentral is "tRNA-Ser". It matches the Rfam family "tRNA". Rfam says of the family: Transfer RNA (tRNA) molecules are approximately 80 nucleotides in length. Lineage: Eukaryota; Metazoa; Echinodermata; Crinoidea; Comatulida; Ptilometridae. The record is from RNAcentral.